This is a non-coding RNA of Pelobates cultripes (western spadefoot toad), 694 nucleotides long. The record is from the annotation of a GenBank genome assembly. Lineage: Eukaryota; Metazoa; Chordata; Amphibia; Anura; Pelobatidae.
ACAGGGCCCAUAGUCCCAGGGUAGGAGGCUGGCAAGCAGGACCCUCCAAAAACCAGUCUCCCCCAGUAUCUUCCCCAGAAGUGCAGUUCGUCACACUGUGUAUCUGUGUGUCUAGGUGUGUGUAUCUGUGUGUCUAGGUGUGUGUCUAGGUGUGUGUCUAGGUGUGUGUAUCUGUGUGCCUAGGUGUGUGUAUCUGUGUGUCUAUGUGUGUGUCUAGGUGUGUGUAUCUGUGUGUCUAGGUGUGUGUCUAGGUGUGUGUAUCUGUGUGUCUAUGUGUGUGCCUAGGUGUGUGUCUAGGUGUGUGUAUCUGUGUCUAGGUGUGUGUCUAGGUGUGUGUAUCUGUGUGCCUAGGUGUGUGUCUAGGUGUUUGUAUCUGUGUCUAGGUGUGUGUCUAGGUGUGUGUAUCUGUGUGUCUAGGUGUGUGUCUAGGUGUGUGUAUCCGUGUGUCUAGGUGUGUGUAUCUGUGUGCCUAGGUGUGUGUCUAGGUGUGUGUAUCUGUGUGUCUAGGUGUGUGUAUCUGUGUGUCUGUGUAAGUAUGUAUGUACGUAUUUGGCAUGUGGCAGUGUAUGUACAUAUAUCCUAGCAAUCAAACACCAACACAACAUGCAAACAAACAUUACAUACAAAAAUCCAUAAGAAUUCAAACUCCCAACUCAAACACACCCUUCACUCUAACAGCAAUACUACACACAAA